GCUGGGAUUGUAGGCAUGAGCCACCGUGCCCGGCCUAUUUUUUUUUUUAAACCCAGAUCAAAUGGAACCUAUUAAAGGUAGAGUUGGACAUUCCUCCUAUGAGCAGAGUUAGACAGUCCUCCUAGAGCUUCUGUGGUAUUUAUUACACUCUAAUACAAUUAUGUGUUUGUAUGUCCGUUUCCCUGCAUUUGGUUUCUUUUAAUAGCAUCCAAAUGCAAAUCUGACCUUUUUUUUGUUUGUCCUUCUAUCAGCAUACAAUAGAGCCUGACAUAGAGAAUAAUCAAUAAGUAUAUAUUGAUUGAUUAAAUGAAUGGAUUUUUUUUUUUUGUUCCAGGUAGAGUGUAGUGGAAAAAGCCUAGACCCUGGUACUAUUCCCAGUUCCUCUGCUAACUUGCUAUGUGACCAUAGUCUCUCAGCAGCUCCUUCACCUCAUCAAUGAAGUGGAGUCAGUACCACCCACUUUGGAAUAAUUGUUUUGAAGAUUAAAAGAGUUAAUGAUCAUUUAUCCAUUCAAUUGUAGGGAUAUGCUGAAUGCUUCUUAUGAGCCAGGCACUGUGGUAGGUACUAAGGCUAUAACAUUGUCUUUUCCUCAUAAAGCUUUUCAAUCUAGCGGGAAAGACAAGUAAUUAAACAAGCAUCUACAAUAACAUAUAGUGAAAAUUGGAAUAGGAGAAGAAUAAGGUCCUAUGGGAACAUACAACAGGGGGCCCACCUUAAUCGAGGGGUUAGGAAGAACCUCCCCAAAUGGUAUGAAAGAAUUGUAAAGUACUAUACUCAUGUCAGGUAGGAUGUUAUUACUAUAGAUGAGACUGCCGUUGAGCUCAUAGAAGGAAGCCAUCACACUGUGGAGAGUGAGGCUUCCUGGAAAAGUGGAGUGUUGAGCUGGACUUAACUUCCUUUGAUGUUGCUGGCUGAUUUUCAUUAGGAAGAUGUGCCCUUCGAAUGGUGUCUCCAGGAUCAGAGAUGGAUCUGUCUUCAUCUGUCCAUACCCCAACUCACCUUGUUGCUAUAAGAAACUGAGCCCUCCAGUUCAAGAAUACAAACCACAGAGAGGGGAAUACUGAAGGGAAAUCUAAAAGCUCCAAAUGUCUGUGUUCCUGCUUUGGGCACAUUGAGGUGAAGAAGACCAGUGAUUUGCCAAGGAAAGAAGGGCUUGUCUGAAAGAGUCAGGAAGGAAAUUUAUGCUCCCUUAGAAGAUGAGAAAACAGAGAUAGGGGCUGCUCACCUACCCCUCAGUGUCAACUUGUAGUAGGUAAAUAAACAACACCAAAUAAGU
Molecule: long non-coding RNA, 1276 nt
Organism: Homo sapiens (human)
Lineage: Eukaryota; Metazoa; Chordata; Mammalia; Primates; Hominidae
Exons: 2
Source: RefSeq, a predicted model, not a curated record